GUCGCUGAGACAACAGCGAUCCGGGUUGGAAGCCGGCAAAUUCCCGAGGCGGACAGCCGCCUCAGCGCGGUUUUUUU
This 77-nucleotide small RNA is filed under the name Burkholderia pseudomallei. RNAcentral describes it as "isrK". Lineage: Bacteria; Pseudomonadati; Pseudomonadota; Betaproteobacteria; Burkholderiales; Burkholderiaceae. RNAcentral also lists the same sequence under 1 other name. The record is from RNAcentral.